CUACGGGGCGCUCCAGUGAGGAAUACUGCACAAUGGGGGGAACCCUGAUGCAGCAACGCCGCGUGGAGGAUGACGCAUUUCGGUGUGUAAACUCCUUUUAUAUGUCAAGAAAAUGACGGUAGCAUAUGAAUAAGCACCGGCUAGCUCCGUGCCAGCAGCCGCGGUAAUACGGAGGGUGCAAGCGUUACUCGGAAUCACUGGGCGUAAAGGACGCGUAGGUGGGUUGGAAAGUCAGGUGUGAAAUCCUACAGCUUAACUGUAGAACUGCACUUGAAACUUCUAAUCUAGAGUAUGGGAGGGGGAGAUGGAAUUAGUGGUGUAGGGGUAAAAUCCGUAGAUAUCACUAGGAAUACCUAAAGCGAAGGCGAUCUCCUGGAACAUUACUGACGCUAAGGCGUGAAAGCGUGGGGAGCAAACAGGAUUAGAUACCCGAGUAGUC
RNAcentral lists this ribosomal RNA (439 nucleotides) under uncultured bacterium. Its description in RNAcentral is "partial 16S ribosomal RNA". It matches the Rfam family "Bacterial small subunit ribosomal RNA", at positions 339 to 795 of the family's 1533-position model. The record is from RNAcentral.